Long non-coding RNA from Cydia pomonella (codling moth), 195 nucleotides. RefSeq lists it as uncharacterized. NCBI's taxonomy places the organism in Eukaryota, Metazoa, Arthropoda, Insecta, Lepidoptera, Tortricidae. The record is from RefSeq and is a predicted model, not a curated record. The transcript is spliced from 2 exons.
UUGAAGAUGGCACGUUUAUGACGAUCUUUCUAAUUUAGUCAUCCCAACUCUCCUUUCGUGUUUGGGAAAUAUUUUUCUAAAUAAUGAAGGAAAUAUGUUUUGUCCUACUCGUCACUUUUCACUACGUUGCGGCUUUGUUUCAAUACGGAGAACAUAAAAAGGGUGAAGUUAUUUCAUAUAAAUUGAAGAGUACAA